GACGAACGCUGGCGGCGUGCCUAAUACAUGCAAGUCGAACGAACUCUGGUAUUGAUUGGUGCUUGCAUCAUGAUUUACAUUUGAGUGAGUGGCGAACUGGUGAGUAACACGUGGGAAACCUGCCCAGAAGCGGGGGAUAACACCUGGAAACAGAUGCUAAUACCGCAUAACAACUUGGACCGCAUGGUCCGAGCUUGAAAGAUGGCUUCGGCUAUCACUUUUGGAUGGUCCCGCGGCGUAUUAGCUAGAUGGUGGGGUAACGGCUCACCAUGGCAAUGAUACGUAGCCGACCUGAGAGGGUAAUCGGCCACAUUGGGACUGAGACACGGCCCAAACUCCUACGGGAGGCAGCAGUAGGGAAUCUUCCACAAUGGACGAAAGUCUGAUGGAGCAACGCCGCGUGAGUGAAGAAGGGUUUCGGCUCGUAAAACUCUGUUGUUAAAGAAGAACAUAUCUGAGAGUAACUGUUCAGGUAUUGACGGUAUUUAACCAGAAAGCCACGGCUAACUACGUGCCAGCAGCCGCGGUAAUACGUAGGUGGCAAGCGUUGUCCGGAUUUAUUGGGCGUAAAGCGAGCGCAGGCGGUUUUUUAAGUCUGAUGUGAAAGCCUUCGGCUCAACCGAAGAAGUGCAUCGGAAACUGGGAAACUUGAGUGCAGAAGAGGACAGUGGAACUCCAUGUGUAGCGGUGAAAUGCGUAGAUAUAUGGAAGAACACCAGUGGCGAAGGCGGCUGUCUGGUCUGUAACUGACGCUGAGGCUCGAAAGUAUGGGUAGCAAACAGGAUUAGAUACCCUGGUAGUCCAUACCGUAAACGAUGAAUGCUAAGUGUUGGAGGGUUUCCGCCCUUCAGUGCUGCAGCUAACGCAUUAAGCAUUCCGCCUGGGGAGUACGGCCGCAAGGCUGAAACUCAAAGGAAUUGACGGGGGCCCGCACAAGCGGUGGAGCAUGUGGUUUAAUUCGAAGCUACGCGAAGAACCUUACCAGGUCUUGACAUACUAUGCAAAUCUAAGAGAUUAGACGUUCCCUUCGGGGACAUGGAUACAGGUGGUGCAUGGUUGUCGUCAGCUCGUGUCGUGAGAUGUUGGGUUAAGUCCCGCAACGAGCGCAACCCUUAUUAUCAGUUGCCAGCAUUAAGUUGGGCACUCUGGUGAGACUGCCGGUGACAAACCGGAGGAAGGUGGGGAUGACGUCAAAUCAUCAUGCCCCUUAUGACCUGGGCUACACACGUGCUACAAUGGAUGGUACAACGAGUUGCGAACUCGCGAGAGUAAGCUAAUCUCUUAAAGCCAUUCUCAGUUCGGAUUGUAGGCUGCAACUCGCCUACAUGAAGUCGGAAUCGCUAGUAAUCGCGGAUCAGCAUGCCGCGGUGAAUACGUUCCCGGGCCUUGUACACACCGCCCGUCACACCGUGAGAGUUUGUAACACCCAAAGUCGGUGGGGUAACCUUUUAGGAACCAGCCGCCUAAGGUGGGACAGAUGAUUAGGGUG
Molecule: ribosomal RNA, 1489 nt
Filed under: Lactiplantibacillus argentoratensis
Lineage: Bacteria; Bacillati; Bacillota; Bacilli; Lactobacillales; Lactobacillaceae
Description: bacterial SSU rRNA
Rfam family: Bacterial small subunit ribosomal RNA
Source: RNAcentral